ACUAUAGCAGUGAAAAAUAAUCAUACUGUUAAUAUGUGAAAUACAACACAGUAUCAACGAAGUAUCAACACCAUGUCAACUGUGUUCCUUUUCAUUAUUAUUUUUUUUUUUUUAAAAACUCAUAAAUAUAAAUGAUAGAUUAUACUACUUUCAUACAGUUUACAAUAAUGACCAACCACAGUUUUAUCCAAUUUAAUCACUUUAUUGGAAUAAUUUUACACAUACAAAAUGAAACCAUGACAGGCACAUUUGUUGCAGCGAUGAAAUAAACAUGAUUAUUAGAACAAUAAAAGUUGCAGAUUUAAGCUUAUAUAGCACAAAUAUUAAACCUAUAUAAUCAAGCUUAACGAGUGUGCUUCCUCUGUAGCCUCAGGAUUAAGAAUGCUAUGAUUCCUGUAAACAAUGUUAUACAAGCUUUAGACCUGAUUAUAAAAAUCAGGAAGUAGGCUGAAAAGCAGGCCUAUGUCCAAUGAAAUUCUCUCCUGUCCACAGGUGUGGUGUCUCUCCUCCCAUAGGGAGGCACCAAUUAGCAUGUUGUUAAUAUGUGAACAGGGGGAGGAGAGGAGGUUUCACUUUACUCAGAGCACUUUCUCGGUACAGGGACAAGCUGUAUUUUCUGGCAUUUACCUGCUUUAUUAAAUGUUCAUCUUAUUUGGAAGUGGAAUAACUGGAAAGUGGAGACUUUACAGAUUCUGGUGGUGUUUUUGUUGAAUGGGUAUGAUCAAAUCCUACCAGUUUAUGAAGAGAAAGAGACAAGAGAUGUUCACCUGACCAUGCUGAAUAUCAUCGGCGAUGCUCUCGACCUCAAAGAGUUAACACACCCUCCUUCGUUCUACUGGAACGGCACAGAGCACACAUGUCACGCUGUGACUACAAGCCACAAGCCCUUCUUGGCAGUGGAGGACAUGCUUCCAAAUAAAGCAGUGUGUGCCAACCAUUACCAGAACAUCUUCAGAGAAUGGUUGCACAUGUAUUGGACCCUAACAGUCAACCGAAGGAACAUAUUGUUUCUGUUGUUAUGUUCUGAUUUUUUGUCUUUAGGAUUGUCAGAAGAAGUUGAAGCAAUGGUGAAAUAAAAUAAUGUAGUAUCACAGAAUAUAAACCUUAUAGAUUCUAGGCUCUGAUAUGUUUCUCAGCUCUCAGGGGUGGGGGGCUGAGUCAAACCUGUUGAAAAACCGGUUUAGCUCUUCUGCAUGUUCCAGGCUGCCCUCCAUGGCUGGUCUGGAAUUUUUAAGUCCAGUAAUCCUGUUCAUGCUGUCCCAUACCUCUUUGGCACAGUUUUUUUUUCCAGCUUGCACAGUUUUUUUCCAGCUAGCCUCUCCCAGUAGCUGUUUUUUGCUUUCCUCAGCCACACCCCCCAGCUCAUUUUGGACUGACCUGACCUCCUCACUGUCUCCUGCCAUGAGUACCCUCUUUUUUCCUGCUUAGGAGGGCUUUAAUGUCAUUGUUGAUCCAUGGCUUGUUGUUUGAAAAACAGCGGACCUUCGUUGUGGGUAUGAGGCUGUACUAUUCCUACUCUUUCCAUUUCUUCCGUCAUGUCCUUUCUUUCUACUUUAUAUUUUCUGCAGCACAUGUUCUACAGAUUCUGCCGUCUGGCAAUGAUCACAAACCAGCUGGCUGCUUCCUUAUAAUGUGAAGUGAACUAUUCUGUGUAUUAUUCUCAAUCUAGUCAUGAUUGUCUCCUCUUUUCUGUUUCUUCCCUUACUUUCCACAAUACCGAUUCUACAAUGCCCUCCAUUAAUAUUGGCACCAUGAAUUCAUAGGGGUGCCAAUAAUUGUUGCACAUACACACCUAUAUUUAACAAGGUGGUUUUUUUUGUUUGUUUUUUUAAAUAUAUAUAAACCUGAGUUGUAUUUCAAUUGUUUGAUGUCCAUGAGAGCAGAGUAUUUCUGUGAAUUUUUUUAAUGCUCAUAUUUACCAAGGGUGCCAAUAUUAAUGGAGGGUGCUGUGUAUCAUUAUGGAGUAUAAAUGUCUUCCUUUUAUCUCCCGGUCCCACUGCUGCUUCCACUAACAAUUUCCUUCUGGCUUUGAGAGACUCAUGUCUGUUUUCUUCUCUCCUUUUUUCCCCAGUAUGUUUGGCUAGUUUGUCCACUCUUCCAUUACCCAUAAUGCCUAGUGUGAACCCAAAUGAAUAUGAAUUCAUCUAUAGAUAUUUCUAUUGAGUAAAUGAUUGAGAAAGUCAAUUUUCAUUGUGGUUUUGUUUGACUUUAUUAACAGGCACCGUUCCAAAGAUGAUCAAAUGUUUGCUUGUCCAAAUAUGUCAAAAAGUCAACACUUUCCAUGGGGUGUACUUAUUUUUUCACACGACUGUAUAUCCUUACAUUGAUCACUUAUGUACACUUAUCCUCCACAUGUAUAAUAUAUCCUCUCUCUGCGUUAAUCUCGAGUCAAAAUGCCAUCCCAAAAAACACCGCUUUCAACUCUCUCCAAGUUACCUCCAUAUUGUUUCAGAUGAUCACCUUCCGGGGGUUCUUUCUUGUGAAAGGCAUCGAUUUGGUCUUUUCCACCGAGAAUGUAAAUCCCCACCUCGUCCCCCACAUUUCAACCUGUUUGACCCCAUCUUGUAUUGUCUUAACUAUGUUCUACAUUCCUCCCUCUCUUCCUCGGAGCCCUCAGACUCAUCCGCAAACAGGAAAUCAGUGAUCCUUCCGUAUCCAUUUAAAUAUCAGGCUCCAAUCCAUUUUUAUAGCCAUGAAUGAUUACCACAAGAGUCUUUAUCAUUGCCCAAAUGUUUUCAUGUGCCUUACAACACUGUUGUGGGUGUGGUCUAGUUUCAAAAUCUACCUGGUGUCAGAAAGAACUUGGUAAGUCCACAGACGAAUGAGAACUUCUUAAACAUACGCCUCUAUAAAGAACAGAAAUCAAACAAAACUUUUACUGUGUUUAUUCAAUGAUUCUUGGAUGG
This is a long non-coding RNA of Ictalurus punctatus (channel catfish), 2906 nucleotides long. The record is from Ensembl. NCBI's taxonomy places the organism in Eukaryota, Metazoa, Chordata, Actinopteri, Siluriformes, Ictaluridae.